RNAcentral lists this ribosomal RNA (433 nucleotides) under uncultured bacterium. RNAcentral describes it as "bacterial SSU rRNA". It matches the Rfam family "Bacterial small subunit ribosomal RNA", at positions 29 to 507 of the family's 1533-position model. The record is from RNAcentral.
AACGAACGCUGGCGGCAUGCCUAACACAUGCAAGUCGAACGAAGCCUUCGGGCUUAGUGGCGCACGGGUGCGUAACGCGUGGGAAUCUGCCCUUGGGUUCGGAAUAACAGUUAGAAAUGACUGCUAAUACCGGAUGAUGUCUUCGGACCAAAGAUUUAUCGCCCAAGGAUGAGCCCGCGUAGGAUUAGGUAGUUGGUGGGGUAAUGGCCCACCAAGCCGACGAUCCUUAGCUGGUCUGAGGGGAUGAUCAGCCACACUGGGACUGAGACACGGCCCAGACUCCUACGGGAGGCAGCAGUGGGGAAUAUUGGACAAUGGGCGAAAGCCUGAUCCAGCAAUGCCGCGUGAGUGAUGAAGGCCUUAGGGUUGUAAAGCUCUUUUACCAGGGAUGAUAAUGACAGUACCUGGAGAAUAAGCUCCGGCUAACUCCGUG